This 521-nucleotide ribosomal RNA is filed under the name uncultured bacterium. Its description in RNAcentral is "bacterial SSU rRNA". It matches the Rfam family "Archaeal small subunit ribosomal RNA", at positions 345 to 866 of the family's 1478-position model. The record is from RNAcentral.
AACCUCCGCAAUGUGAGAAAUCGCGACGGGGGGAUCCCAAGUGCCAUUCUUAACGGGAUGGCUUUUCUUAAGUGUAAAAAGCUUUUGGAAUAAGAGCUGGGCAAGACCGGUGCCAGCCGCCGCGGUAACACCGGCAGCUCUAGUGGUAGCUGUUUUUAUUGGGCCUAAAGCGUUCGUAGCCGGUUUGAUAAGUCACUGGUGAAAUCCUGUAGCUUAACUGUGGGAAUUGCUGGUGAUACUGUUGAACUUGAGGUCGGGAGAGGUUAGCGGUACUCCCAGGGUAGAGGUGAAAUUCUGUAAUCCUGGGAGGACCACCUGUGGCGAAGGCGGCUAACUGGAACGAACCUGACGGUGAGGGACGAAAGCUAGGGGCGCGAACCGGAUUAGAUACCCGGGUAGUCCUAGCCGUAAACGAUGCGGACUUGGUGUUGGGAUGGCUUUGAGCUGCUCCAGUGCCGAAGGGAAGCUGUUAAGUCCGCCGCCUGGGAAGUACGGUCGCAAGACUGAAACUUAAAGGAAGU